CCUACGGGAGGCAGCAGUGAGGAAUAUUGGUCAAUGGACGAGAGUCUGAACCAGCCAAGUAGCGUGAAGGAUGACUGCCCUAUGAGUUGUAAACUUCUUUUAUAUGGGAGUAAAAUGUUCCACGUGUGGGAUUUUGUAUGUACCAUAUGAAUAAGGAUCGGCUAACUCCGUGCCAGCAGCCGCGGUAAUACGGAGGAUCCGAGCGUUAUCCGGAUUUAUUGGGUUUAAAGGGUGCGUAGGUGGUUUGAUAAGUCAGGUGUGAAAGUUUGAUGCUCAACAGUAAAAUUGCAGUUGAUACUGGCAGUCUAGAGUACAGUAGAGGUAGGCGGAAUGUGUGGUGUAGCGGUGAAAUGCAUAGAUAUUACGAAGAACUCCGAUUGCGAAGGCAGUUCACUGGACUGCAACUGACACUGAGGCACGAAAGUGUGGGUAUCAAACAGGAUUAGAUACCCGAGUAGUC
This 460-nucleotide ribosomal RNA is filed under the name uncultured bacterium. RNAcentral describes it as "partial 16S ribosomal RNA". It matches the Rfam family "Bacterial small subunit ribosomal RNA", at positions 338 to 795 of the family's 1533-position model. The record is from RNAcentral.